GAUGAACGCUGGCGGCGUGCCUAAUACAUGCAAGUCGAGCGAACAGACGAGGAGCUUGCUCCUCUGACGUUAGCGGCGGACGGGUGAGUAACACGUGGAUAACCUACCUAUAAGACUGGGAUAACUUCGGGAAACCGGAGCUAAUACCGGAUAACAUGUUGAACCGCAUGGUUCAACAGUGAAAGACGGUUUUGCUGUCACUUAUAGAUGGAUCCGCGUCGCAUUAGCUAGUUGGUAAGGUAACGGCUCACCAAGGCAACGAUGCGUAGCCGACCUGAGAGGGUGAUCGGCCACACUGGAACUGAGACACGGUCCAGACUCCUACGGGAGGCAGCAGUAGGGAAUCUUCCGCAAUGGGCGAAAGCCUGACGGAGCAACGCCGCGUGAGUGAAGAAGGUCUUCGGAUCGUAAAACUCUGUUAUUAGGGAAGAACAAAUGUGUAAGUAACUAUGCACGUCUUGACGGUACCUAAUCAGAAAGCCACGGCUAACUACGUG
Molecule: ribosomal RNA, 497 nt
Filed under: uncultured bacterium
Lineage: Bacteria
Description: partial 16S ribosomal RNA
Rfam family: Bacterial small subunit ribosomal RNA
Source: RNAcentral